GAUGAACGCUGGCGGCGUGCCUAAUACAUGCAAGUCGAGCGAACGGACGAGAAGCUUGCUUCUCUGAUGUUAGCGGCGGACGGGUGAGUAACACGUGGAUAACCUACCUAUAAGACUGGGAUAACUUCGGGAAACCGGAGCUAAUACCGGAUAAUAUUUUGAACCGCAUGGUUCAAAAGUGAUAGACGGUCUUGCUGUCACUUAUAGCUGGAUCCGCGCUGCAUUAGCUAGUUGGUAAGGUAACGGCUUACCAAGGCAACGAUGCAUAGCCGACCUGAGAGGGGGAUCGCCCACACUGGGACUGAGACACGGUCCAGACUCCUACGGGAGGCAGCAGUAGGGAAUCUUGGGCAAUGGGCGAAAGCCUGACGGAGCAACGCCGCGUGGGUGAUGAAGGUCUUCGGAUCGUAAAACUCUGUUAUUAGGGAAGAACAUAUGUGUAAGGAACUGUGCACAUCGUGACGGUACCUAAUCAAAAAGCCCCGGCUAACUACGUG
Molecule: ribosomal RNA, 497 nt
Filed under: uncultured bacterium
Lineage: Bacteria
Description: partial 16S ribosomal RNA
Rfam family: Bacterial small subunit ribosomal RNA
Source: RNAcentral